CCUACGGGAGGCAGCAGUGAGGAAUAUUGGUCAAUGGACGAGAGUCUGAACCAGCCAAGUCGCGUGAAGGAUGACUGCCCUAUGGGUUGUAAACUUCUUUUAUAUGGGAAUAAAAUGUUCCACGUGUGGGAUUUUGUAUGUACCAUAUGAAUAAGGAUCGGCUAACUCCGUGCCAGCAGCCGCGGUAAUACGGAGGAUCCGAGCGUUUUCCGGAUUUAUUGGGUUUAAAGGGAGCGUAGGUGGGUUGUUAAGUCAGUUGUGAAAGCUUGCGGCUCAACCGUAGAAUUGCCGUUGAUACUGGCAGACUUGAGUACAGUUGAGGUGGGCGGAAUGCGUGGUGUAGCGGUGAAAUGCUUAGAUAUCACGAAGAACUCCGAUUGCGAAGGCAGUUCACUGGACUGCAACUGACGCUGAGGCACGAAAGCGUGGGUAUCAAACAGGAUUAGAUACCCCAGUAGUC
RNAcentral lists this ribosomal RNA (460 nucleotides) under uncultured bacterium. Its description in RNAcentral is "partial 16S ribosomal RNA". It matches the Rfam family "Bacterial small subunit ribosomal RNA", at positions 338 to 795 of the family's 1533-position model. The record is from RNAcentral.